CUCUCUCGGUCUCGCUGUAUCACUCUCACACACUCUUUCACUCCAGAAUGCGGGAAUUGAACAUAGAGAAAGAUGAUGGAAUUGUUUGUUUUGGACAGUUGAUGGGCAUGUGCGACCAUGUAUCAGUCACCCUGGGCAUGGCCGGCUACAUGGUGUACAAGUCGCUGCCCUACGGAGCGGUGGACACAGUGAUCCCGUACCUCGUGCGCAGAGCUCAGGAAACCAGGCCGUUCUCCAGGGAGUGAGACAGGAGCAGCAGCUACUGCGGAGAGAACUGCGUCGGAGAUUCCGACUGCCGGGCGCUCGAACUACGCCUUCCUGAACCGUCCCAUCAGCCGAUCAGCCCCCGAGGAUCACAGCGGGAACGGGCAGGGGGUCCGGCGGCAUCCAAUAAGAGAGGAAAAUUAGUUAACGAUUUAGGUCGAUCGCCUACAGUCUGAAGAAAGAUUAUCUUGGCUCAGUCGGCUGUGCGGAGUCCUGCAGCUCAGUGGUUAGAGCACUCGCUUUGCGAGCGACUGACCCGAGUUCAAUUCCAGGCAGAGGGCGAAACCUCGGGCAAGUUUCCUUACUCCGCACAGAGCCUAAUAAUAAUCCCUCCACAACCAAAAACAAUAAUAAAUUGGUCAUUUUCAAUCUACGACUGUUUGUGGGGCAUUGCUGUGCGCAAUUGGCCGCCGCGUUCGCCCACAAAUAUACAGUCAAUUCGCUUUACAGUGUGUUCUGCGGAGCGCUUUGGGACGUCCUCCCGACGUGAGAAGCGCUAUAUCAAAUGCGAGGAUUAUUAUUAUUAUUUUCCUCGCUCCAUGGAUGGUGUUGACAGCUCCAUGGACCUGUUGGCUUUUGAACGUUGGAAUAAAACAUUUUUAAAAAUA
Callorhinchus milii (elephant shark) is the source of this 872-nucleotide long non-coding RNA. RefSeq lists it as uncharacterized. The record is from RefSeq and is a predicted model, not a curated record. The transcript has 2 exons. Lineage: Eukaryota; Metazoa; Chordata; Chondrichthyes; Chimaeriformes; Callorhinchidae.